UUAAGCAUAUCAAUAAGCGGAGGAAAAGAAACCAACAGGGAUUGCCCUAGUAACGGCGAGUGAAGCGGCAACAGCUCAAAUUUGAAAUCUGGCCUUCGGGUCCGAGUUGUAAUUUGUAGAGGAUGCUUUUGGUGCGGUACCUUCCGAGUUCCCUGGAACGGGACGCCAUAGAGGGUGAGAGCCCCGUCUGGUUGGAUACCAAUCCUCUGUAAAGCUCCUUCGACGAGUCGAGUAGUUUGGGAAUGCUGCUCUAAAUGGGAGGUAUAUGUCUUCUAAAGCUAAAUACCGGCCAGAGACCGAUAGCGCACAAGUAGAGUGAUCGAAAGAUGAAAAGCACUUUGAAAAGAGAGUUAAAAAGUACGUGAAAUUGUUGAAAGGGAAGCGCUUGUGACCAGACUUGGGCUUGGUUGAUCAUCCUGGGUUCUCCCUGGUGCACUCUUCCAGUCCAGGCCAGCAUCAGUUUGUUUCGGGGGAUAAAGGCUUCGGGAAUGUGGCUCCCUCGGGAGUGUUAUAGCCCGUUGUGUAAUACCCUGGAGCAGACUGAGGUUCGCGCUCUGCAAGGAUGCUGGCGUAAUGGUCAUCAGCGACCCGUCUUGAAACACGGACCAAGGAGUCGUCUUCGUAUGCGAGUGUUCGGGUGUUAAACCCCUACGCGUAAUGAAAGUGAACGCAGGUGAGAGCUUCGGCGCAUCAUCGACCGAUCCUGAUGUUCUCGGAUGGAUUUGAGUAAGAGCAUACGGGGCCGGACCCGAAAGAAGGUGAACUAUGCCUGUAUAGGGUGAAGCCAGAGGAAACUCUGGUGGAGGCUCGCAGCGGUUCUGACGUGCAAAUCGAUCGUCAAAUAUGGGCAUGGGGGCGAAAGACUAAUCGAACCUUCUAGUAGCUGGUUUCCGCCGAA
RNAcentral lists this ribosomal RNA (898 nucleotides) under Gliocladiopsis tenuis. RNAcentral describes it as "LSU rRNA". It matches the Rfam family "Eukaryotic large subunit ribosomal RNA", at positions 34 to 965 of the family's 3401-position model. Lineage: Eukaryota; Fungi; Ascomycota; Sordariomycetes; Hypocreales; Nectriaceae. The record is from RNAcentral.